UAGCUCAGUAACACGUGGAGAACGUGCCCUUAAGUGGGGGAUAAUCUCGGGAAAUUGAGGAUAAUACCCCAUAGGUCAUGGGAUCUGGAAUGACCCAUGGCUGAAAGUUCCGGCGCUUAAGGAUCGCUCUGCGGCCUAUCAGGUAGUAGUGGUUUUUACGUACCCCCUAGCCUACGACGGGUAUGGGCCUUGAGAGAGGGAGCCCAGAGUUGGAUUCUGAUUCACGACACCAUUCCCUACGGGGCGCAGCAGUUGUGAAAACUUCACACUGGGGGGAACCCCGAUGAGGGAAUUCCUAGUGCUUGGGCAUUUGUCCAAGCUUUUCCCGAGCGUAGAUAACUCGGGGAAUAAGGGCUGGGUAAGACGGGUGCCAGCCGCCGCGGUAAUACCUGCAGCCCGAGUGGUGGUCGAUUUUAUUGAGUCUAAAGCGUUCGUAGCCGGUCCGUUAAAUCCUUGGGUAAAUCGGGAAGCUCAACUUUCCGACUUCCGAGGAGACUGGCGGACUUGGGACCGGGAGAGGCAGAGGUACUUCUGGGGUAGGGUAAAUCUGUAUCUAAAAGACCACGGUGCAAGGUCUCGUUGACGAUCCACGGUAGAGGACACCUGGGUGUCAAAGGAAUAUACCCUGUUACCGGGUACACACACACUUUGUGUGGCCCACGGCUCUCCGAGAUUUCUGACCGAUAUGAGAGCACACGAGGGUUUGAUCUACAGCGAAAUAAUGUAUG
Molecule: ribosomal RNA, 728 nt
Filed under: uncultured archaeon
Lineage: Archaea
Description: bacterial SSU rRNA
Rfam family: Archaeal small subunit ribosomal RNA
Source: RNAcentral